UCGGAUAUGGUGUAACGGCUAACAUUGCCGCCUCUCAUCGAACGAGAGUCAGUCCGCGGCAGCUCGGGGUUCGAUUCCCCGUAUCCGAA
Molecule: non-coding RNA, 89 nt
Organism: Coprinopsis cinerea okayama7#130
Lineage: Eukaryota; Fungi; Basidiomycota; Agaricomycetes; Agaricales; Psathyrellaceae
Source: the annotation of a RefSeq genome assembly